CAUGUGGACAUUUUGUAGAGGUCGGACGUCUUCAUGUGGCUAUGAGCAAUCUGAAGGAGCACCUAUCCAAGUAUUGGAUUAGUAGAGAUCAUCAGCUUAUAGUUUGAUAAUGGUUCCUGAACUUGUUUGAUUGUUUUUGAUAGAUCUAAGGGUUUGAUCUAGAUUGCAGCAUCGAUUAGAUCGAUGUACUUUUUAUUUUCAGAUCUUAUGUGCA
RNAcentral lists this long non-coding RNA (214 nucleotides) under Elaeis guineensis (African oil palm). Its description in RNAcentral is "long non-coding RNA (EGUI_LNC038103)". Lineage: Eukaryota; Viridiplantae; Streptophyta; Magnoliopsida; Arecales; Arecaceae. The record is from RNAcentral.